AUGAUUAACCAAUUCAUGGAUCCCAGUAAUUUACGUUACUAGAAUAGUGGGAUCUCUACACGUUGUCUUUUUCUUUCUGCCAGCACAAAUAAUUCCCAUGUCUUCUUAUCAUCCAGGAGGAUUAAUAUAGAGAAAUCUCACUUCUUCAAAAUGUACAGAUAACUAGCGUAGGACAGUGCUGAAGCCUCGGUGACAAGUCAUGUGCUAUUCUCAUCCCAGGAAAACUAAGAAAGAAAAUGAACAGUCUGAGGUCUGAGAAAGAGUAUAAUAGAAAAUGGCCCGAUUCACAACUAAUCUCCAUGGAGGAAUAGUCUUCACACAGAUGAGACACCAAAAGACAGAGCUUUUGUGUAUAGGACAGCAGUAACACAAAAAGAAACAUGAAACCAGGAGAGCUGACCAUCUUACGAUGUGAAGAACGGUGUUUCUGUGACCUGUGCUCCAAUUCCCAGAACUAUGCCAUUUUCCCAUGACCCUUAAUCUCCAGUCACUGAAAUGUGGUACAAACAGGAUUCCAAUGUGCUUGGCUAAGGAAAGUGGAAAAUUGAAUGAGGGGAUGAGGCCAUCAAUAUGACCGGACUUAUGUUUUACUCUGUACUAAUCCUUGCCUCACCGUUGUACGCCAUCCCAGUUGACUGGAGUAAUCCUUGUGUAGCCAUUAGCUGGUUGGAAAAGCCCGACACCCUGCGGUCAUAUUUAGUACUACAGUUACUUCUCCACUCGGGUGUCCCAGAGGGACUGGCCUGGCUGGAUACAGUACCAUAGAAGGUACUGGAUUUUCUUUGAAUGCCAUCAGGUGACCUGGUUCCCAGCUUCUUCUUUGUGCAAUAGCCAUUGCUUUCCGCCUCUUAGUACAGAAUGGGCUUGCAGCAUUAAGAAUCCCUUCAGACGCGCGUUCUCAUCUCCAUGAGGAUGGGGAACAGAGUUCUAGAAAACUAUGCACUAGGUCCAACUCACUGAGGGACUGCAAGAAGAGCAACUUUUAAAUUUUCUUUAUUUAUAGACAUUUCAGAACCAUUUAAAUCAACCAUGAAUUUUUUUAGACAUAACAUACCAUGUUUAUCUUGAGGUACACAUUGGGCCCGUUAGAUAAUGCUCUGGAAAGUAAUACAACUGUUAACUGGUAGUUAACGCCCUCGGUUUUCCAAGCAAAGAAGCUAUAAAGGUGGUUACAAAAUUCUUUGAAAAGAAUAUACCAUUUCCAUUUAAAUCAAGGAAAACUCCCCCAUUUUUAAUUAAUUGAGUUUAAUUUUUAGGCUUAGUUUCAACAAUGUUUUAAAUGGAACUUCGUAUGAAAAUGGGAGAAGAGAUUGAUAGCUAAGAAAUGAUCUGAGCCCCUACUAUAUGAGAUUGUAAACAAAGGAAAUUUGUAAUCUGAUCAGCUCAUUACAAAAUUCAUAGCCUAAAAAUUAGAGCAGCAAAAUUACAGAAGAUAUUUGUACAUAGGUUUAACUGAAAUCACGUUUACCCCUUGCUUCUGGUUUCCACCAUGAGAUCAAUUUUAAAACACCCGGUUUCAAAGACUAAACGGCAAUGGGACAAGAAGCGGCUGUGAGAAUUCCACACACAGUUUUACAGCCCCCUAGGGCAAAAAUCCUCCUUCUCGUCAUUUGCACUUUGGGUGUUCUACACUUCCUGCCCUAGCAGCCAGUUGCCUUUGUAUUACUAGAAAAAGAGUGGGAAUUGACGUAUCCAACAGCAGAUUUAGCUUUUCUGGUGGAUGACGCAGAAAUUUCCUUUGAAUGGUUCACGAGGUACUUUGGAGAACUGUUUUGUUUUCCAGUUUGUGAUUCAAAAUGUUAACUUCAUACUCUUUAAGCAUGACGCGUAGUGACUUGUUACACAGUGUUUGGAAAAUGGACCCUCUAUCCAUCCACAGCCACCCCCUGAACUUCUCAAGGAGUUGUAGGGAUGAUGUGCAGGUGGUUCUGGAAUGUGAGCAGAGGGUGUUUAUGUGUGUGUCUGAAAACAGUUGGAAUGGAUUGUCAUAACAGUUUCCCGUAAGAUUGUUUUAUUUCUCCAUGAGACAAGAAUAAACACUGCAAUUCAGUCGAAUGGGCGGCUUGCUGCAACUUCAUAAACUUGAAUGGUAUAUGUGGGUUGAAAGAGUAUAAAUGUAAAUUUCACAGUUCAUAAAGUUGAGCAGCUCAACUUAAAAGAGAGAGAAUGUGCUGGCGUUUACAAGAUUCUGAGAAAGAAUCGGUCUGGGAGGGUGUGAGUUCUCCCUUCCAGCAUGAGUUAGGUCCAUAUUUUUACAUUUUAGCUGCUUGAUUUGGCUUAUUGCUGAUUUUCUUUUUUGAUGGGGGCCAUGAAUGUAAACCCCAAACAGGGUCCUGUUUAGACAGGCACUUUCCCCUAAGCCCCAUGGUUACUGCCCUGACGGCAGGGAACCUGCUAGAAGAUGUACUCAAUCUUGACUUGGUUGGUUAGAAAAGAUUCUGCAUCUGGGGAUCUCUAUGCAUCGUUUUUUCACUGCAAAACUGCAGCUCUCAGAAGGGAAAGGCCGGUUCCACCCUAUUCCCACACUGCCUUUCUGGCCAUGAUUCUCUCUAGCAGUGCAUGCCUCAUCUAGUCAGGGUGCCGAGGUCCUCUACAGACAAGGGUUCAGCUCAGUAAUGGCGGCUACCUUUAUUUGUGCCUUUAGAGAGGCCAGAAGAUAUUACAGUUAAAAAUGUUGCCAAUCAGUAAAAGAGAACACUAGCCAGUGGUAGUCCGAGAUACUUUCUGCCUCCAACAUAUUCCAAAUUUUAAUGGUCUCAUGGUGUUUAUUUUUUAUCCCUUUAAUGGAGACUGCCAUUUCUUCCAUCUGUGGAUUCUUUCAAGACAUAACACACUUAACUCUCCAUACAUCCAACUGCCCAGAAGAUUUCAUGUCUCUUUUCGUCACACAUAUGCAGUCUCAGCAACUGUGAUUUUAAAUAUAAACAUUAGGAGCUCCAAGAGGGCACAAGCCACAUCUUUUUUUUUUUAGUAUUGUCGAGUCACACAGCAUGGUUCCUGGCAAUAAGAGGUGUUCAACAAAUCUGAAUACAUGACCCAAGGGCCACAGUGCCUGUCUCCAAGCAGUCUCUACAUUGCCACCAAUAUAAACUCGAUAUAAAUAUGCCAAGACAGAACACAGAAACUAUUUGUGUCAAGUUCUUGGAAAAGAAAAAACAAAAAGAGAAACAUAAAAGGGGUCAUUUGUGUAUGUGGGGCAACCUUCAUAGUAAACCCAAAGCCAGUCGGUUCCUCCUGCCUGAAUUUGAGAAUUGUGUCCAGGGGUCAGGCGUUUAAAAGCAGAUUCCGUGAGGAUUUGUUAAAGAAAAAAAAUGCAGCUUUUCAACUGCAUCCUGUCUGUUUUUGUUUUCAAGGAAGUUUCUGAGAGGUUAAUGUUGCUACGGAAGUGGUGGCUUAUACAGAAGGAUGUUUUCUAACCGGCAAAGUCACUGAGGGUCUCUUGUCAUGUGAGUGCGGUACCAGAAACUCCUUUGUAAUAAAUAUUUCAGUUACUCCUGGAGGGGCACUCCAGUAUGACGAAUUUUACAAGAUACUCUCCUUAUGGGGUCAUUCUACCCAGAGUAUUUACAUUUUGGGAGAAAUGUUAUGGGGGAAAAAUGCCCCUUUAAAAAAAAAAAAAAAAAGAGAAGAUUUAUGAUGGCAAAUGAGAAGACGCAUCAAUUCACCUCAAUUCUAUACCACGAGAUGGAUUAAGCAUCUUUAACGUCAAGAAAUAAAGCCAUCUUGCAUGUUGCCUUAUUGUGGGUCUUGUCUUUACAUUUGUUUACUUAUGUUGGUCAGUGGGAUGAAUAGAUAACAAGAAGCCAACCCUGAAGUCAUGUUGGCACCUGGUUGGCUGACCUCAGUCACAGAUGUCUGCACAUCCAGAAUCAAUGUGGGGGGAGACAGGGCUAUGGCUGACGGCUUGCUCGGAGAACUCUAGCUUUCCUAAGAUAUACAUUCCUUCAAAAAGUCAAGAAUGAUGACGAGGACAUUAUAGUUUGGAAUAUCUAAUCACAUUUGGCAAAACCUGUCAGAAUCAUGUCCUGGAAUCCUCAAUAAUAAAAGUAUGGUAAUAAUACAUUUUCUUUGGAAGAGAGGAAAGAAGAGGCUUAUGAACUAAAUAAGUACUUACUGAUACUUUAAAAAAUUACUCAACAUAUCUAGCACGCACAAUAACAGAAGAUCGUAUGAUUUCUGAGCUCUGGUGAAGCACAAAGCACGUUGAGAACACCUAACACGCUCUGAGAAAUGCUUUUCAGACCUCUCACUGUUGGACACCAGGAAUAUAAGACCCUCAAACAGGAGACAAAUAAUCCUUUGACAAGACACUGUCGUUUUCCCAGACACCAGCAUGCGAGUAUUAUAUGCAAACUACCCCACAUGGGCUUACAAUCAAAUGUAAUUCUUCAAUACAGACACUCUACUGAUUUCCUCUAUGCUUUCAGUGAUGAAGACCAGUAAGACUGAGCGUCAAGGGAAAGGGUUCUGAGAAUCUUUGGAAUCAUUCUGCCCACUCUUCCUAAGAGGCAACCUAAUUAAUGGCCCCAAACCUCAAUCGAUAUUUGAAAGUGAACAGAUGUUAUCUAAAACAUCAGACUAAUAAUGAUGCUUAAAACAUGUUUGCAUUGUGUAUACAUCUAUACACAUAUAUGUAUAUGUUCUGCUCUUUUCUUCCACUGCUCGAGAAAAUUAGCAGCAGUUACAGAUAAAUGAUUGUGGUCAUAAUUUGUAUUAUUUCUAAGGACGUCAUACACCUUCUAUCAACAUAUGACUUUUGGAAAAUGCCUUUUGAUGAAAAGAUCCCCACCGAGCAUAUAACAAACAGUAAAGUGUCAUUUCAUAUCACUAACAUUUUCAGGCACAAGAGUAAAACAAUUAGCACUGAGCAAUCCAAACGACAGAGCACAGAAUAGUUAAUUGUCUAAAGUCGAUUUUCCCAAAGGAGAGAACUGUUGUUCAAAAGUGUUGUUUGUUUUUGUUUUUGUUUUUUGAUUCUUAUGUUUUUUUUUCAGCUUUGGCUAUUUUGUAAUAAAUACCAUACCUUCUCGCAUAAACCUACUUGGGUAAGAAUUCUCUCUCUGAACAUGCCUUUUGUCUUUUAGCAGCUGUUGAGUGUUGAGUGAUGUACAAGGCACACCUCUAAGUGUUCUGUACAGCAUUUUUAUUGAUGUACAAAAUAGCCUGUUCACCAUUCAAAAAUGUAAUCUGCAUAGUAGGAGUGUCUCUUAUCCCUAUUUACAGAGAAGGUUUUUAGUGCAAAAAACAUGGAAUUGUGUCCCAGCGCACCCCCUCUGGCACACACGUACAUCAGUUUCGUCCAAUGCUAGCUGGGGUUGUUUGGCUAUAUUUUGGGCCUCCAGCCAUUAAUGAAUUGCAUUAUUUUCUUCACCUGCAGUUUGCUCAAUUUGAAAUCCUCCGAGAGGAUUUCUUCCGUUAGCUGAACGAGCAAAUUCCCGUCGAUCUUUUCGCUAACAAAGAACGAUAUGACAUCUUCAGACAAACCGAUAAACCGUAACGACUUGGACACUUCCUCUAUAGAGAGUCCCGACAGGUCAGCGGGUGGCUGCCACGGGGAGCCAUCGCCACAGGACCUGGGGGCCAGCUGGAGGUGAAGCGGAGACGAGAAAGGGUAGGAGACGGAGAAGAUGUCCUGCAUGCCCUUUUUAACAAAGUACUGGUCUUCGGAGAGGUCCGGUGACCCGGACUUGGGGUCUUCCUCAGCACCAUCAAUUUUCAGAGGCAAAGGAGAAGUGUCCGAGGCGGCUUUCUCUUCCACCGGUUUUGGGGCCCUGGGGGGUAAGGCAGGGCACGAGAUACUCUGCUUGCUUGUGUCCGCGGCCAGUGUUUUCGCAUCUGUGCUCUCCACAGAGUAGCUGGCUGACUUGGGACAGGCAGAGACGCCGCCACUGAAUUCUGAAGUGACCGAGCCGGGGGGGCUGGCCGAGAGCUCAUGGCCGUCAAAAUCAAAGGGUGCUGGGCAGUUUCUCUUUGGUGUGCCUGGCGUCUUCUGUCUGGGGUAACUGUAACUCCUGCUUGGCCCCGGCAGGAAGUCCCCCCUGCUCUGGUUCUCCGACGCUCCCGAAUAGUGGUUGGGCCACGAGAGCCUGGAGGAAAGGGUUUCAGCAGAAGGACUGCCCGUCGGGGACUUGGGGUCCACGGAAUCGGCUUUUGCUCGGUUACAGGGAUAGCAGGACACGGGAGCACUCUCAGAAGGCCCGGUGUCACUUUUAGGAACGCUGCUUAAAAGCAAACACAGAAAGGGCGGUGAGUAACCUAAAAGCCAACUACCAAGCCCAUCUUUAUCCCACAGAUGUCACUUCUGAGUAGAAAAACAGAGGUAGGAAGAAAAAUCUAGGAUUUCUUAUUGUGAAUUCGAUGAAGUACCUGCUAACCUCACUGGGUUAAAAAAAAUCUUUACGUUACUAAGAUGCAUUGGUAAUUACGGAAAUGAAUUAUAAUGAUUUAACGUGCUCUAGUGGAGAUGGAAAAAAUAUAUAUGUUUUUUAAACUAACAAGAAAAUCAUUGUUAGGGGGUGCCUGGAUCUUUAUGAGGAGACACAUUCUUGGGCCAGGUUUAGGCUUAUCACCAACAGGCAGUGUCACUCAUUACUAAUGUCUGUAGUGGGGAAGGGUGGGAGGAGGGCAGAAAAUGGGUGCCUCAUGCCCGUCAUCCUUGUGCUAUGGGACAACACUACAUCAUUACCACCUAUGUCUCUAUUCCCAUCCAAAAGUCUGAGGUAAGAAGAAACGCUUCAAACACAAUGCUUGCCUUGGUUUCUAUAUAACUGACUAAAACUAGCGUAAGGAUUUAAAUGUCCAGAGAAUUAAAAAUACCUGCAAAAGAGAGCUAUUUUUAAGUGUGAAGACCAUAUGUGGAGUCAUGCGUUCAGCUCUGGGGCCCGAUUUUAAGUGUCAGUGAAGCCAGAGUGUGUUCAGAGGUGGGUGACCAGGCUGACGAGGGACCAGGCAGCGAUGUCAGCGGAAAUAGCUGGCGGAACUGAGGCAGCCUCUUUUGGAGAAGAGAAGACUUACAUCUGACUUCAAAUUAUUCACAGGCUGACAAAGAGAAGCAGGGAGGAUCUAUUUUUGUGUUUCUAGACAUAAGAAACAGUUGAAAGUUACGUGGAGACAGAUGACAACUGGAUAUAAUGAAAGAUUAUGGAAAAAAUUAUUGGCAUUUGCCAACAAUGGAAUGAGUUGUCCUGCAGAAGAAGGAGCUCCCAGCACCAGAAGGGUCCAGAUAGAAGUCAAUGGCUACCAGACUGUAGCCAAGAAGGGAAAGGCACAGUAGAGAGCCAAUAGGACCCUUUCAAGUCUAGGUCCCGGUAGAAGGUGCUGUCUGUCUCCUUGUGCAGAAGUCGGAGCAGAAAGAACGAGAUGCCGCUUUGUGAGAACUGGCAGUCCUCCACAGCUUGCGUCUAAGAGAAUCCAGUUGGCCUUUAUGCUCCAUUUCUUACAUAGGCUGUGGUUUCUUUUCUUCCUAGGACCCUGGCUCCUCCUUCCAUCCUAACUUGAAACCAACAGGGGCCCCAUCAUGCUCUUCCAGUGAAAUUCUUUGGUUUUUAAGGAACAUUUCCUCUCCCACCUCCUGCCUAGGUUACGGCCACCCGGAAACCGUUCUCAGGACCCGGUGAGCUGGCUGACAAUAAGACACAUGCGGAGAGAGAGAGAGACAGAGCAUGAGCAGGGGAGGGGCAGAGAGAGAGGGAGAUCCAGAAUCCGAAGCAAGCUCCAGGCUCUGAGCUGUCAGCACAGAGCCCGACGCGGGGCUCGAACUCACAGACUGUGAGGUCAUGACCUGAGCCGAAGUCGGACGCUCAACUGACUGAGCCACCCAGGCGCCCCAAAGAUUUUAUUUUUUAAAGUAAUCUCUACACCUAAUGUGGGGCUCGAACUCACAACUCCGAGACCAAGAGCUGCAUGUUCUACUGACUGAGCAAGCCAGGCGCCCCUCAACUUGUUACUUUCAAUGCGCUGCUGUAGACGCUCAAAUGAAGUCACAUGCAGUUUAUGGGAAAAACUAUAUGCUUUGGUGAAAUAUAUACAUUUUGGGAUCCAGAAGGUAUAAAUAAGGAGGGUUUAUUGUGCCCUCUUACUUCCUACCUCCUACACCCUUAUAAGAGGAAUCGUUCUCCUUUUCUUUGCUUCUUGAUUGGAUUCAACAUACAUAUCCAAGAGGAGUGUAGUUGUAUUUGAAAUGAAUUUUAUGAAUUUUAUCUGACAAUGAAGGGCAAUUUACAAGACUCGAUGGCCAUUCACCCUAUUUGCAGUUUCCCCUCAUAUUCAAUUUCAUUUCUAAGUGCCACAUUUUUAGCAGAUUCCCUCUAAAAAGUCUCAGCAUGUGGCUUUCAUCCCGUUUCUUGCCAUCUCCAGAGGCACCCUCUGAUUGCUGGAUAAAGUCCAGCCUCCCCUGCUUCCCACUGAAGCUCUCUGCACUCCUUCUCACUAUUGCUUGUAGCCAGAAGAAAUGAUUCCAUCUCAUUCCAUCUCUCCAGUUACUUCUCCCACCACUGCUCUACACAAACACACAGGUCCAGUCAAAGCGGCAGGUUCAGUGUCUCCUCAACACACCUUAUGCUUGUCUGCUCCUUCCUCUGCUUUGGUUCUUACUGCCUGUCUCUUCCGAAAUGCCAUUUCCUAAGGCUCAGUGCCGACCACUGCAGGCUCGGUUUGGGACCCCGGCAUGUGGCCACCAGGACUUGUUGCUGCUCCUGAACUCAGCUCACGCUGUUUAUAUUUACUUACUUUCCAGGUAUAUUCAAUUAGCCUGAACGUGCAAAUGGUAAGGACCAUCAUCGCUGUUAAUAGUGCCCUGUGGAUGACAGAGUUAAAAUAUAUAUAUAUAUAUAUAUUGUCACCUCUGGUGCAAAUAUGUCCCACAGAAUUUAAUAAAGGUAAAGGUUAAUAGAGGUCACCAAAAAUACAAGAAAAAGGUACUUUUAUUUUAAAAUAUAUACUAUGAGAAUGCUUUUUAUAUUCUUAUGCGGAGAUUGUUAUUUUUAAAAAAAUUUUAACGUUUAUUUUAGAGACGGGUGUCAGAGAGAGGGGGACAGAGGAUCCGAAGUGCGGUCUGUGCUGACAGCAGAGAGCCCGACGAGGGGCCUGAACUCAAAAACUGUGAGAUCAUGACCCAAGCCAAAGUCGGAUGCUUAACUGACUGAGCCACCCAGGCAGCCCUGGAGAUUGUUAUUGGAAAGAAGAUGCAUUAGUAGAUGCCUGAGCAGAGAGACGGAAGGGUGCCAUCACUCAAAACCAGAAGGGACUUACGGCUUCAGAUUUGGGAGGCACUGGAGGCGGAGGUAGGGCGAUCUCUGAAGACUUCACUG
Molecule: long non-coding RNA, 9308 nt
Organism: Acinonyx jubatus (cheetah)
Lineage: Eukaryota; Metazoa; Chordata; Mammalia; Carnivora; Felidae
Exons: 6
Source: RefSeq, a predicted model, not a curated record